Long non-coding RNA from Cavia porcellus (domestic guinea pig), 297 nucleotides. RefSeq lists it as uncharacterized. The record is from RefSeq and is a predicted model, not a curated record. NCBI's taxonomy places the organism in Eukaryota, Metazoa, Chordata, Mammalia, Rodentia, Caviidae. The transcript has 2 exons.
GUCAGAAGAGACAACAGAGACCUGGGGAGGAGGAUUCAGAAGGAAGACUGGACAGGAGGAGAAGUGAACGGAGGGGAUCCAGGUUUCUCUCGGCCAUGGCAGUUUCUCGGACUUUCCUUGAUUUGAGGGCCUUGAUAGUUUUGAGGAAUAUUGGCCAGAUGUUUUGCAGAGUGUGCUUCAGUUGUGAUUUGUCUGUUUUUUUCCAUGAUUGGACUGAAAUUAUGGGUUUGGGAAAGGAAGAUUAUAGAGAUAGAGUGCCUUUCCAAUCAUAUCGUAUUAAAGGUACGUGCUAUCCAU